RNAcentral lists this ribosomal RNA (141 nucleotides) under Citrobacter freundii. RNAcentral's name for it is "partial 23S ribosomal RNA". It matches the Rfam family "Bacterial large subunit ribosomal RNA", at positions 1 to 140 of the family's 2925-position model. Lineage: Bacteria; Pseudomonadati; Pseudomonadota; Gammaproteobacteria; Enterobacterales; Enterobacteriaceae. The record is from RNAcentral. RNAcentral also lists the same sequence under 7 other names.
GGUUAAGCGACUAAGCGUACACGGUGGAUGCCCUGGCAGUCAGAGGCGAUGAAGGACGUGCUAAUCUGCGAUAAGCGUCGGUAAGGUGAUAUGAACCGUUAUAACCGGCGAUUUCCGAAUGGGGAAACCCAGUGUGAUUCG